This 491-nucleotide ribosomal RNA is filed under the name uncultured bacterium. Its description in RNAcentral is "partial 16S ribosomal RNA". It matches the Rfam family "Bacterial small subunit ribosomal RNA", at positions 30 to 507 of the family's 1533-position model. The record is from RNAcentral.
AUUGAACGCUGGCGGUAGGCCUAACACAUGCAAGUCGAACGGCAGCACAGUAAGAGCUUGCGCUUACGGGUGGCGAGUGGCGGACGGGUCCUGAGUACAUCGGAAUCUACUUUUUCGUGGGUAUAGCGUAGGGAAACUUACGCUAAUACCUCAUACGACCUACGGGUGAAAGCCUUGGAACUUCGGACCUUGCGCGAUUGAAUGAGCCGAUUUCGUAUUAGCUAGUUGGCGGGGUAAAGGCCCACCAAGGCGACGAUCCGUAGCUGGUCUGAGAGGAUGAUCAGCCACACUGGAACUGAGACACGGUCCAGACUCCUACGGGAGGCAGCAGUGGGGAAUAUUGGACAAUGGGCGCAAGCCUGAUCCAGCCAUACCGCGUGGGUGAAGAAGGCCUUCGGGUUGUAAAGCCCUUUUGUUGGGAAAGAAAAGCAGCAGGUUAAUACCCCGCUGUUCUGACGGUACCAAAAGAAUAAGCACCGGCUAACUUCGUG